Mytilus trossulus (common blue mussel) is the source of this 334-nucleotide long non-coding RNA. RefSeq lists it as uncharacterized. The transcript is spliced from 2 exons. The record is from RefSeq and is a predicted model, not a curated record. Lineage: Eukaryota; Metazoa; Mollusca; Bivalvia; Mytilida; Mytilidae.
UUUUUUUAUGUGCAAUGAAAUGUAGCGUGAAAUUUUCACUGUAGCACUAGAAAGGAUUAAACUUUAUACAUGUAAAGUAUUUCUUUGGUUGAAAUAAAGUGGCGAACAAAUAGAAAAAGUACAAUGAAAAUCAGUAGAAAGAAUGAUCUCAACUUCAAAACAUAACUUUGUAUUAUUUCAACAGCAGAUGGGUCGAUAUUUGGAUAAAUUGACUAUAUAACCAAAUUUUACUAAAAGCAACGAAUGAAUCCACUUUAUUCCAAAUCUACCGGAGUUCUUUAGGAGAAAGUGUUGACAUUGGAAUCAAGUACUGUGAGGAAAUAGGAGUAAAUUA